Molecule: ribosomal RNA, 253 nt
Filed under: uncultured bacterium
Lineage: Bacteria
Description: partial 16S ribosomal RNA
Rfam family: Bacterial small subunit ribosomal RNA
Source: RNAcentral
UACGUAGGAUGCAAGCGUUAAUCGGAAUUACUGGGCGUAAAGCGUGCGCAGGCGGUGAUGUAAGACAGAUGUGAAAUCCCCGGGCUCAACCUGGGAACUGCAUUUGUGACUGCAUCGCUGGAGUACGGCAGAGGGGGAUGGAAUUCCGCGUGUAGCAGUGAAAUGCGUAGAUAUGCGGAGGAACACCGAUGGCGAAGGCAAUCCCCUGGGCCUGUACUGACGCUCAUGCACGAAAGCGUGGGGAGCAAACAGG